AGAGUUUGAUCCUGGCUCAGGAUGAACGCUAGCGGCAGGCUUAAUACAUGCAAGUCGAACGGGAUUUGAGUAGCAAUAUUCAAUGAGAGUGGCGCACGGGUGCGUAACGCGUAUGCAACCUACCUUUAACAGGGGGAUAGCCCGGAGAAAUCCGGAUUAAUACCCCAUAGAAUAUAAUUGUGGCCUCACAUUUAUAUUAAAGCUCCGGUGGUUAAAGAUGGGCAUGCGUGCCAUUAGCUAGUUGGUGAGGUAACGGCUCACCAAGGCGACGAUGGCUAGGGGUCCUGAGAGGGUUAUCCCCCACACUGGUACUGAGACACGGACCAGACUCCUACGGGAGGCAGCAGUAAGGAAUAUUGGGCAAUGGACGCAAGUCUGACCCAGCCAUGCCGCGUGCAGGAAGACGGCCUUAUGGGUUGUAAACUGCUUUUAUCAGGGAAUAAACCCUUGUUUGUAAACAAGGCUGAAGGUACCUGAAGAAUAAGCAUCGGCUAACUCCGUGCCAGCAGCCGCGGUAAUACGGAGGAUGCAAGCGUUAUCCGGAUUCAUUGGGUUUAAAGGGUGCGCAGGCGGGCUAAUAAGUCAGGGGUGAAAUACUACGGCUCAACCGUGGAACUGCCUUUGAUACUGUUAGUCUUGAGUAUAGUUGAAGUGGGCGGAAUGUAGCAUGUAGCGGUGAAAUGCAUAGAGAUGCUACAGAACACCGAUAGCGAAGGCAGCUCACUAAGUUAGUACUGACGCUCAUGCACGAAAGCGUGGGGAUCAAACAGGAUUAGAUACCCUGGUAGUCCACGCUGUAAACGAUGAUCACUCGUUGUUGGCGAUACACAGUCAGCGGCUAAGCGAAAGUGAUAAGUGAUCCACC
This 865-nucleotide ribosomal RNA is filed under the name wastewater metagenome. Its description in RNAcentral is "bacterial SSU rRNA". It matches the Rfam family "Bacterial small subunit ribosomal RNA", at positions 9 to 873 of the family's 1533-position model. The record is from RNAcentral.